Molecule: long non-coding RNA, 2032 nt
Filed under: Capsicum annuum
Lineage: Eukaryota; Viridiplantae; Streptophyta; Magnoliopsida; Solanales; Solanaceae
Description: long non-coding RNA (CANN_LNC005334)
Source: RNAcentral
GUUGAUCUAAACUGAUCCAAUGGCUGAGACCAAAUUCCCAUUUCUUUCCUUUUUAAACAACCUAACCCUAAUAUUCAUUUUGCCAAAAAAAGAAAUCAUAUUUCCUCCUUCUUCUCUCUUCUUUCUCUCUCUAUCAAACAGCCAUAGCUGCCGCUGUCAGCCAACCACCACGACUGGAGAAAUCUGGCGUCACUUCUUCCCUUCUCCCCAUAUCCUCCUGUCGGUGACCAUGAACCCAGUUGCAUCACUGAAUUUUGGCGAAGCCCUUUCCCAGCUGUUGUUGGCCAACAACCAACCGCCUCGAUGGCUACCUCCACUGCUCAUUUCCUUCUUCCUCCGUUCCUCCUUCUCUUCUCUCUGUCGCUGCCAGCCACGAUAAACCCAUCAAAAUCAUCAUCUCCGGCAAACAGCAACCCAAUGAUGCCUCAUCCGAUAAACUAUCGACCACUGACCCCCUCCAUUCUCCUUUCCAUCUAUGCAGCCACUCCAGUCAGCCACCGUCGCGGCCUUACGCAUCGAAAAAUAAUGGGUUCUAGAGAACCCAUCCCAGGUUUAUUGUUUUGCUUAAAUUUUCUUCUUCUACAUUUUUCAUUUCAUUUUCUCUUUUCUGAUUGAUUUUAUUAGGUUCAAAUUGAUGGAAUCUUAUUGUGAAUUUUUUAUUUGAAUCAUCCAAUCUCGUGUGUGUUUGCGUGUCUAGAAUUUCGUACAGGAAAAGCCCCAAAUUUUAUGAUGCUUAAUUUUAACCUUGAAUAUCAAUUAGAUUGUCGGUUUGUGCUUACUCAAAUUUUGAAGUUUUUUUUCCUCAUAUAUGGAUUGUGUUAUAAUAUAGUUAGUGUUAGCAGAAUUUGAUCAGACUUGACGAUCGGUGUAAUGGUAAAAAGUUGCUAGAUUUUUUUACUCUCAACUGAUAUUAUGGGACUAAUUUUAUGUCUAAUUUGGAUAAUUCGAAUUGGAUAAUCAAGUUAAGGAACUACUUUAUGAUUAAUUCUUUUUAUUUUUGUUUGGCUUACUGAUUUUUGUAAAAUUUAACGUUGUCUAUUCUCAUAUGAUAUCUAUUUAUCUUUUUAAUAUAUCUCAAGAAAUAUUUUUAACUGUUAAUUUAUAGAAAUUCAUUAUGAAAAUUCAUGUGAAUAGAUUAUUACUUAGCUAAUUGUGGUAUAUCUUGAUUCAAUGUUGGUUAAGGAAAAUUUUGAUUGAUUCUGAAUAUCCAUUUUUCCUUUAUUUUUUACAUGAUUAUCUGGCUUAGUGAAUUCAGUCGCGGGUUAAGAAGAUUUUUCUUUCCCUUGAUUGAGGAAUAAAAUAUUUUCCUUCCCUUUAUUAUUGAGUGGUCACAACCUAUAUAAGCACCCCUUCUAUCGUUCUUUUGGGAAAACUUACAAUAUAUACACUCUCUCAUAUGAAAGCUUUAAGGAAAAAAGAAACAAUUUUACUUUAUUACUUUUAUGGGUUGCACUUACUUUUGGAGCAUUGGCCUUGAUCUUUCGGUGCCAAUUCAUGCUUGGAUUCUGUGUUGCUUGUUGUUUCUUAUUACUGUUUGUUAUCUUAAAUCGAUAAGUCCCUAUAGAUGCAAUUUCCUUUGCAUUUUAUGUGAUGAUGCUAGAAAACAUGCCUAUAGGUACUAUUCGGUGUUUGUCAUACUCUUAUUUCAUUAUUUUUAGGUCUUGUGUCCAUCUUUGGUGUGUUCUUUGGUUUCGUUGUCUGGUUUAUGCAUAGCAGGUAUCUUUAUAGAUAAAUUGUGGGCUUUAAAGAGUCACCCGGGAAUUGGAGAUGUAUUGCUCAUUCCUUUUCAUUUACAUAUUUAUUAUUCAUUAUGUUGUAAUAACUUUUGUAAACCUCUACUCAUGUAAUAGUAAAUUUGGGACUUCUCGGUGGGCGGGGUAUAUGUGAUUUAACUGCUCUUUGUGAAUCAUUUAGGCAAAUAUAAUCUAGGAUCAACAAUUAAUUUAUGUGAUCACUUAGAAAUCAUAUGUUCGGGAUAACGAUUAUCUUUUGGAAUAGGCCAAUGUCAACAAGUUAUACUUAGUAUUUUAAU